GACAGAGGUGCCAAGCGUUAGGCGGAAUCACUGGGCUUAAAGCGUGUGUAGGCGGAAUGGUAAGUACCUUGUGAAAUCCCACGGCUCAACCGUGGAACUGCUUGGUAUACUGCUUUUCUUGAGCCACUUAGGGGCUGUCGGAACAAACGGUGGAGCGGUGAAAUGCGUAGAUAUCGUCUGGAACGCCGAAGGUGAAAACAGCUCGCUGGGGCUGCGCUGACGCUGAGACACGAAAGCCAGGGGAGCGAACGGG
RNAcentral lists this ribosomal RNA (253 nucleotides) under uncultured bacterium. Its description in RNAcentral is "partial 16S ribosomal RNA". It matches the Rfam family "Bacterial small subunit ribosomal RNA", at positions 524 to 776 of the family's 1533-position model. The record is from RNAcentral.